RNAcentral lists this ribosomal RNA (102 nucleotides) under uncultured bacterium. RNAcentral describes it as "partial 16S ribosomal RNA". The record is from RNAcentral.
UGAAGGUCCUCUGGAUUGUAAACUUCUUUUAUCUGGGACGAAAAACGGAGAUUCUUCUCCACUUGACGGUACCAGGUGAAUAAGCACCGGCUAACUCCGUAC